This 160-nucleotide ribosomal RNA is filed under the name uncultured bacterium. Its description in RNAcentral is "partial 16S ribosomal RNA". It matches the Rfam family "Bacterial small subunit ribosomal RNA", at positions 355 to 507 of the family's 1533-position model. The record is from RNAcentral.
UGGGGAAUAUUGCACAAUGGGNGAAACCCUGAUGCAGCCAUGCCGCGUGUGUGAAGAAGGCCUUCGGGUUGUAAAGCACUUUCAGCGAGGAGGAAAGGUUGAUGCCUAAUACGUAUCAACUGUGACGUUACUCGCAGAAGAAGCACCGGCUAACUCCGUG